Anoplophora glabripennis (Asian longhorned beetle) is the source of this 283-nucleotide long non-coding RNA. RefSeq lists it as uncharacterized. NCBI's taxonomy places the organism in Eukaryota, Metazoa, Arthropoda, Insecta, Coleoptera, Cerambycidae. The transcript has 2 exons. The record is from RefSeq and is a predicted model, not a curated record.
GUGGAAAAUAUUGAUGAGAUUAAAUUUUUUGAAUUUUAUAAAAUUCGACAGAUGGCCAGAUAAAAAAACAAGAAGUUGAUAAAUUCAAAAAACGUUCAGUAAAACUUAUAUGGUUUACAGAAAUUAGUUUAAUAGCAAUGAAAAUAAUAUUAUUAACAUUAUGACGAUCGCAUUUUAUAUAACCUACGCUUAGGUUGCAGAUCCAAAAUCUGGCAAAAAUCCCUUGGUAUGAUAUAUCAGGAAAAAUUAUCUGCACAUAUACGACUUUGUGAUAAGCAUUUUG